RNAcentral lists this ribosomal RNA (526 nucleotides) under uncultured euryarchaeote. Its description in RNAcentral is "bacterial SSU rRNA". It matches the Rfam family "Archaeal small subunit ribosomal RNA", at positions 354 to 881 of the family's 1478-position model. The record is from RNAcentral. Lineage: Archaea; Methanobacteriati; Methanobacteriota.
CAUGCACGAAAGUGUGAUAAGGAAACUCCGAGUGCUCUUGGGAAACCAAGGGCUUUUGUCAAGUGUAGAUAGCUUGAUGAAUAAGGACUGGGUAAUACCCGUGCCASCCGCCGCGGUAAUACGGGAAGUCCRAGUGGUGCCCGCGAAUAUKGGGCUUAAAGCGUUCGUASCUGGUCUUGAAAGUCUUUGGUGAAAGCCCAUAGCUUAACUAUGGGAAGUGCUAARGAUACUUCGAGACUUGGAGGCGGGAGAGGUCAGAGGUACUUUUAGGGUAGCGGUAAAAUGUGUUAAUCCUUAAAGGACCACCGGUAGCGAAGGCGUCUGACUAGAACGCGCUCGACAGUGAGGAACGAAGGCUAGGGGAGCAACCUGGAUUAGAUACCCAGUUAGUCCUAGCAGUAAAUUAUGCAAACUAGGUGUCAAACAACCCACGUGGUUGUAUGGUGCCGAAGAGAAAUCGUUAAGUUUGCCGCCUGGGGAGUACGGUCGCAAGACUGAAACUUAAAGGAAUUGCGGGGGGGAACAC